AAUACUUUAGACGUCUUACUCAUCAACUUACAUUUCUUGAAUUCUUUGAAACCUUUUGCAAAGUAUUCGAACUUGUAUUUAUUCAAAAUAAACUAUAGUCCAACCGAGAGUGAUCUUCGGUGAAUGUUAUAUAACAUGAGUAGUAUUAUGUUUGUGGACAAGUGCCACUAACAUCUAAGUGAAUUAACCUCAACAACUUUGUGAUUCUUUCUUCUUUCCAAAAGAAUAAAGAUUCGAACAUUUCGCCUCUAUACAAUUUUAACAAGAAGGUAUUGGAUCCGGAUCUAAUGAUCCAAAGCGUCCAUCUAUGACCAACUCGUAAUUUAUGUUUUAGAGGUAUCACAACUUUAGUUGGGAUUAGUCA
This 364-nucleotide long non-coding RNA is filed under the name Malus domestica (apple). RNAcentral describes it as "long non-coding RNA (MDOM_LNC003745)". Lineage: Eukaryota; Viridiplantae; Streptophyta; Magnoliopsida; Rosales; Rosaceae. The record is from RNAcentral.